UACGUAGGCAGCGAGCGUUGUUCGGAGUUACUGGGCGUAAAGGGUGCGUAGGCGGUUGUUUAAGUUUGGUGUGAAAUCUCCCGGCUCAACCGGGAGGGUGCGCCGAAUACUGAAUGACUAGAGUGCGGGAGAGGAUAGUGGAAUUCCUGGUGUAGCGGUGAAAUGCGUAGAUAUCAGGAGGAACACCGGUGGUGUAGACGGCUAUCUGGACCGUAACUGACGCUGAGGCACGAAAGCGUGGGUAGCAAACAGG
RNAcentral lists this ribosomal RNA (253 nucleotides) under uncultured bacterium. RNAcentral's name for it is "partial 16S ribosomal RNA". It matches the Rfam family "Bacterial small subunit ribosomal RNA", at positions 524 to 776 of the family's 1533-position model. The record is from RNAcentral.